This is a long non-coding RNA of Ostrea edulis (European flat oyster), 1873 nucleotides long. RefSeq lists it as uncharacterized. The record is from RefSeq and is a predicted model, not a curated record. The transcript has 2 exons. Lineage: Eukaryota; Metazoa; Mollusca; Bivalvia; Ostreida; Ostreidae.
UCAAAAUUAUCAGAAUGUUUACAGAACAAGAAUUUACUACCAUAUACACUUGCCUACAAAUUAAGGUAGAGACGGAUAGCAACCACGUGAUCAGUAAAAAUCGUGUAUAUUCACGUGAAUUUAUUUUCCGGAAUUCCGUACACCGUCAUAGAGUAGUUGAAAAAUAUAAAGGGGUUCCGAAAGUACAAGUUGUUGCUGUGACUGACUCGAUGAUUGAGGGGGUCGUCUCGACGAAAGAUAGACCAUAGUUUAGAUUAGGAAUACGUCAAUGUAAUAAUAGUGGACCAAAUGUUUCGUCCGUGCAGAAUGGCACUUUUUACCUCACGACCAUGCAUAGCUGCGCUACGUAAACAAUUUUACAAAGUUGUUGAUGUAGCGUGAUCGUGAUGUCCGACUCCGAGUGCUGCGAGUUUCAAUACUGUUUAUGUAGUCAUUGAGAGUUUAAACAAACUUUCUUCUGAGAAGAGGGAUUCAAUGGAUGCAUUCAACGUGGACAACGAAGUUAUAAUUUCGUUUGUUAAGUGAAAAAAUAUGGCAAAUUAAAUUUGUAUUCAACCCACUUUUCCUCUGCUAUUUCACAACGCGAUUUUAUAAUAACAUCUAUAAACACACAACUUGGAGAUGUUUCAUUUUCUUUGCAUUUAUGUAUUCCAUAUGUGCCCAAAAUAUAAUUCCUAUAUGCUCAUGUAAUCGUAAAUGAAUGUCAUGUAUAUGCCACAUUUAAAAAAAUAGGUCUCUCCCAAGUUUUUUUUUUUGGGGGGGGGUUGCACUAAAUUUCUAUUUGGUAUACAUGAUAGUACUUAUAAUAUCUUGAAAUUUCAUUGACCUAAGAGAUAUUUCAAAUCUGGGGUUUCAUGUUUCACACAAGCAUGCAAGUCUACAAUUUAAAAUAUUAAUAUUUUGUAAAAUCACAAGCCCUCUCAUAGGCAAAUGUAUGUAUUGUAUGAACAUAAGAUAUGUAUGUCCUUCUCUUGACCCACACUUGGUAAAGGAGACAUGUCUGAUAAAUCUAGAGUUGACUUGUUUUGAUAUUAUUAGAAUGAACUGGCAGUUUAUCGUAUGAAAACAUAUCUGUCAUCUCAUAUUGCAAUAUGAUAAUCAUGAUGUUUAUUCACCUCAUUAAGGGGGGGGGGGGGGGGGUGUAUGGGGUAUGUACAGUUUAAAUAGAAGUUAGCUAUAACAAUAUAAAGUAAAUAACAAUCAUUCAGAUGUACUACUACUGCAAGAGUUCACAUUGCUGCACUGCACACAUUUAACAUAGUGUUACAUAUGUAAUACUGAUUUCAGACAAGAUUUUAAAAAUUAACAUAAUAAAUGUAAUUUUCAAUAUAUCAGUAUUUUAAAGUUCACUGAAGAUGCAUUGAGACCCACAAUUUUAAAAUUGACAUUGUCUGACACAGUAUAAUUAAUGAUUAAUACUGACUGUGCAAAUAUUAAUUUGAUGAUUUUUUCCCUAAGUGUCAUCCUAAGGACCAGUGCAAGUUGAAAUGGGCUUCGAGUCAACAACUUCAACAGCAAUUUGCCUUGAAAAUCAGCAAGAAAGGUACUUCAUUUACAUUGAUGAUGUCAUAUCCCCUGGACCCCACAACUUUACAAGUUACAGAGAAAAUUCAAGAACUUCUGCACAAUGUGGGACUUGGAUAGAAUCAAUAAUGUAUUUGUGAGCCCAGAUAUAUUGUGCAACAUACUAAAGUGUGAAUUUAAUUGAAAACAAGUACAUGUACUCAUGUAUACUAUUAUAUGUCUUUCUUAAAGACAAUAAUAUUGCAUAAAUGUAGAUGAAGUGUCAUUGUUGAUUAUUCUAAGUUUUUGAUAUAUCAAAAUCAGUAAACAUUUCUAAAUGAAAAUAAAAUACCAAUUUUAUAACUUUUAA